ACGGCACUUUUAGCAUUUUCAGUAACCUGACUUUUAAUCAGGUUGUCGGGGGUUCGAAUCCCCCGUGCU
This 69-nucleotide transfer RNA is filed under the name Candidatus Eisenbergiella merdipullorum. RNAcentral describes it as "tRNA-OTHER". It matches the Rfam family "tRNA". From Rfam's summary of the family: Transfer RNA (tRNA) molecules are approximately 80 nucleotides in length. Lineage: Bacteria; Bacillati; Bacillota; Clostridia; Lachnospirales; Lachnospiraceae. The record is from RNAcentral.